RNAcentral lists this ribosomal RNA (827 nucleotides) under Halocaridinides trigonophthalma. RNAcentral describes it as "partial 16S ribosomal RNA". The stretch from base 369 to 614 matches the Rfam family "Archaeal large subunit ribosomal RNA", at positions 1787 to 2143 of the family's 2987-position model. The record is from RNAcentral. Lineage: Eukaryota; Metazoa; Arthropoda; Malacostraca; Decapoda; Atyidae.
ACGUAGUAAAGUGGAAUGUUUACAUAAUUUUGGUAAUGAUAUGUUAACCGAGCAAUAUAUAUCUGGUUACUUUUGAAAUAAAUUUAAUUUGAUCUUUGUGAAUAACUUUUGCAGAGGGGUAUUUAUAGAGGGAAGAGCUUCUAUAAAAUUUAUGAUAUAUAGUUAAUGUUUAUUUUGAUUUAAGACUAGGCUUAAGAUCAGCCUUGUCUACAACGCGUUUUAGCGGAUAAUUUUUGUGUUUUUAUUUUUUAUUUUACUUGUAAUUGUUAGAAAGUUAAUUUUGUAAUAUUUUAGUGGAUGAAAGAAUGGUUAUAUAAGUAUGCGUUAUUGUGGGAAGAAGUUAAAUUAAAAUAGAUUUUCUUGUUAUAUUUUUAUAGGUAGGAUAAAGGAACUCGACAACUUUUAUUUUCGCCUGUUUAUCAAAAACAUGUCCACAUGAAAUAAGUAUGUGGUUCGGCCUGCCCACUGAUAUUUAAAGGGCCGCGGUAUUUGAACCGUGCUAAGGUAGCAUAAUCAAUAGUCCCUUAAUUGGGGUCUUGAAUGAAUGGUUAGACGAAAAAUAGAUUGUCUUUGAGCUAUUAAGUUGAAUUUUACCUUUAAGUGAAAAGGCUUAGAUUUUUAGUGGGACGAUAAGACCCUAUGAAGCUUUACGUUUUUUCUUCUGAGUUACUUUAAUUUUUGUAAAAGAGUUUAAGGAGGGGGAGCGUUAAGCUGGGGCGGCUGGAAUAUAAAGUUAACUGUUCUUAAAGUAAAUAAUAAUAGUUAUAAUGUUUGAUCCUUCAUUUGGGGAUAAAGAGAUUUAAGUUACUCUAGGGAUAACAGCGUAA